CAAUAGCGUAUAUUAAAGCUGUUGCGGUUAAAAAGCUCGUAGUUGGAUUUCUGUCAAGGACAACUGGUCCGCCCUCCGGGUGAGCACAUAGUUUGGUCUUGACAUCUUGCUGGAAGCUGUUGCUGCACUUGGCUGUGUGGCGCAGUGUUCAGCACUUUCACUUUGAGGAAAUUGGAGUGUUUCAAGCAGGCACAUGCCUUUGGACACAGUAGCAUGGAAUAAUUAGAUUGGGCUUUUGCUCCAAUUUGUCGGUUUCUGGAGCUGAGGUGAGUAUUAAUGGGGAUUGCUGGGGGCAUCCGAAUUUAGCCGUCAGAGGUGAAAUUCUUGGAUCUGCUAAAGACGGACAACUGCGAAAGCGUUUGCCCAGGAUGUUUUCAUUGA
This 381-nucleotide ribosomal RNA is filed under the name uncultured eukaryote. RNAcentral describes it as "partial 18S ribosomal RNA". It matches the Rfam family "Eukaryotic small subunit ribosomal RNA", at positions 592 to 976 of the family's 1831-position model. The record is from RNAcentral.